UACGUAGGGGGCUAGCGUUGUCCGGAAUCAUUGGGCGUAAAGCGCGCGUAGGCGGCCAGAUAAGUCCGGUGUGAAAGUCACAGGCUCAACCUGUGAAUGCCGCUGGAAACUGUCUGGCUUGAGUCCGGAAGGGGCGAGUGGAAUUCCUGGUGUAGCGGUGAAAUGCGCAGAUAUCAGGAAGAACACCCGUGGCGAAGGCGGCUCUCUGGAACGCAACUGACGCUGAGACGCGAAAGCGUGGGGAGCAAACAGG
This 253-nucleotide ribosomal RNA is filed under the name uncultured bacterium. Its description in RNAcentral is "partial 16S ribosomal RNA". It matches the Rfam family "Bacterial small subunit ribosomal RNA", at positions 524 to 776 of the family's 1533-position model. The record is from RNAcentral.